RNAcentral lists this ribosomal RNA (516 nucleotides) under uncultured bacterium. RNAcentral's name for it is "partial 16S ribosomal RNA". It matches the Rfam family "Bacterial small subunit ribosomal RNA", at positions 28 to 523 of the family's 1533-position model. The record is from RNAcentral.
GAUGAACGCUGGCGGCGUGCCUAAUACAUGCAAGUCGAACGCAUUGAGAGAAGUGCUUGCACUUUUCAAUUUGAGUGGCGAACGGGUGAGUAACACGUGGGCAACCUACCUGAUAGCGGGGGAUAACGAGUGGAAACAUUCGCUAAUACCGCAUAACAAUAGAGAAGGCAUCUUCUUUAUUUAAAAGGCGCUUUCAAGCGUCACUAUCAGAUGGGCCCGCGGUGCAUUAGUUAGUUGGUGGGGUGAAGGCCUACCAAGACGUUGAUGCAUAGCCGAGUGGAGAGACUGAUCGGCCACAUUGGGACUGAGACACGGCCCAAACGCCUGCGGGAGGCUGCAGUAGGGAAUCUUCCACAAUGGACGAAAGUCUGAUGGAGCAACGCCGCGUGUGUGAUGAAGGCUUUCGGGUCGUAAAGCACUGUUGUAUGGGAAGAAAUGCUAGGCUAGGAAAUGAGCUUAGUUUGACGGUACCAUACCAGAAAGGGACGGCUAAAUACGUGCCAGCCGCCGCCGUAA